This 253-nucleotide ribosomal RNA is filed under the name uncultured bacterium. RNAcentral's name for it is "partial 16S ribosomal RNA". It matches the Rfam family "Bacterial small subunit ribosomal RNA", at positions 524 to 776 of the family's 1533-position model. The record is from RNAcentral.
UACGGAGGGCGCAAGCGUUGUUCGGAAUCACUGGGCGUAAAGCGCGUGUAGGCGGCUUGGCAAGUCGGGUGUGAAAUCCCGGGGCUCAACCCCGGAACUGCAUUCGAUACUGCCUGGCUCGAGUCUCGGAGAGGGUGGCGGAAUUCCCGGUGUAGAGGUGAAAUUCGUAGAGAUCGGGAGGAACACCAGCGGCGAAGGCGGCCACCUGGACGGUGACUGACGAUGAGACGCGAAAGCGUGGGGAGCAAACAGG